RNAcentral lists this unclassified non-coding RNA (1377 nucleotides) under Hevea brasiliensis (rubber tree). The record is from RNAcentral. Lineage: Eukaryota; Viridiplantae; Streptophyta; Magnoliopsida; Malpighiales; Euphorbiaceae.
AAUAAUAAACGUCAGCGAGGAAAUGGAAGUAGAUUGGGCUCUAGUGGCAUUGAAGAUGGGCGGCUUGGUAAAGAUGACCUGCGAUAUAAAAUCUUGCGGAAAGCUGCGCUUGACCGAGGUCAAAGCAAUGGCCAGCAGAAUGGGGUGGACCUUCGUGAUUUCCUAUCAAGGCCUGCUCAGUCUUCAACAGCAAAACCUAGUUCACGGCAGCACAUACCUGAUCAGAGGGAUAAUAGACGACGAGUACCUGAGCCGAGGGAUAGUAGAGCACGGGUACCUGAGCCAAGGGAUAAUAGAGCACGAGUACCUGAGGCAAGGGAUAAUAGACCACGAGUACCUGAUCAAAGGGAUGAUAGACAGCAUAUGCUUCAUUCAAGAGGUUCUAGAGAAUAUUUGCCUGAAAUCAAAGAUUCAAGACAGUACAUGCCUGAAGGCAGGGACUUUAGAGGGCACCAUCCGGAGCUAAAGGAUGAUAGGUACAAUACACCCGAGUCAAGGAAUGUGAGCAUACUGGGACGAGCUCCCUUGGCAAGAAAUGCAGAUGCUUUACCCAUGAUGGACUCAAUAAGGAAUUCUUAUUCCCCGUGGACACUGGAUCGUUUAAGGCGAACAUCACCAGAUGGAGUUCAUAGUUCUUCUAGAGGUAUUUCACCACCAAGGAGAGGGGAGGAACUGCAGAGAAGACCUCCAGUGACGCCUUAUGAUGACCCUCGACUCAGUUCAUACACAAGGAAAGAUGUCUCUGAGCUUUCACGCCCCAUGACUUCUACAGGUUACCUGUCAAAUUCAUCCCAACCUGCCGGGCCUGGAAAGACUGUUGCACCAUUGCGUGCCCCAAUCCCUCAAUCGCGGAGUCUAGUGCAGAAAAGUUCAUAUGCAGUUGAGGAUCAACCUACUGUUGAUAGCUUUUUGCACUCGUUGGGUCUAGAGAAAUAUGCUAUCCAUUUCAAGGCUGAGGAAGUGGAUUUGUAUUCACUGAAGCAGAUGGGUGACAAUGAUCUGAAAGAGUUGGGAGUACCCAUGGGUCCGAGAAAAAAAAUUCUGCUUGCAUUAGCAUCUCGUGCCAGGAGACAAGUAUGAUUACAUGAACUAAUGCAAUUCAGAUACAUUCUGGAGCUUUGACGCAAAAACCAUGAGAGCUGAAGUGAGAUCUUGCAACUCUACAUAUGCCUUAUAGUCUGUAGAGCGUGUAUCUUCCUUCUUGUUCUAGCUGCGCGAAUCUGUAUGGAUCAGUUGUUAGAUCCUCUAGUCAAUUCUGUAGUUCCCUGCACAGGGCAAAAUAUUUUGCCAGAAGCAGUCUGAUCCUUUUGUUGUUUGUGGUAUCCUCAUUGUUAUGGAAUUACACACCAGUAAACCCUUUGACAUGAAAACAAAAAA